GACGAACGCUGGCGGCGUGCUUAACACAUGCAAGUCGAACGAAGAGCGACGGAAGCUUGCUUCUAUCAAUCUUAGUGGCGAACGGGUGAGUAACGCGUAAUCAACCUGCCCUUCAGAGGGGGACAACAGUUGGAAACGACUGCUAAUACCGCAUACGAUCUAACCUCGGCAUCGAGGAUAGAUGAAAGGUGGCCUCUACAUGUAAGCUAUCACUGAAGGAGGGGAUUGCGUCUGAUUAGCUAGUUGGAGGGGUAACGGCCCACCAAGGCGAUGAUCAGUAGCCGGUCUGAGAGGAUGAACGGCCACAUUGGGACUGAGACACGGCCCAGACUCCUACGGGAGGCAGCAGUGGGGAAUCUUCCGCAAUGGACGAAAGUCUGACGGAGCAACGCCGCGUGAGUGAUGACGGCCUUCGGGUUGUAAAGCUCUGUUAAUCGGGACGAAAGGCCUUCUUGCGAAUAGUGAGAAGGAUUGACGGUACCGGAAUAGAAAGCCACGGCCAACUACGUG
Molecule: ribosomal RNA, 510 nt
Filed under: uncultured bacterium
Lineage: Bacteria
Description: partial 16S ribosomal RNA
Rfam family: Bacterial small subunit ribosomal RNA
Source: RNAcentral